Molecule: ribosomal RNA, 497 nt
Filed under: uncultured bacterium
Lineage: Bacteria
Description: partial 16S ribosomal RNA
Rfam family: Bacterial small subunit ribosomal RNA
Source: RNAcentral
GAUGAACGCUGGCGGCGUGCCUAAUACAUGCAAGUCGAGCGAACAGACGAGGAGCUUGCUCCUCUGACGUUAGCGGCGGACGGGUGAGUAACACGUGGAUAACCUACCUAUAAGACUGGGAUAACUUCGGGAAACCGGAGCUAAUACCGGAUAAUAUAUUGAAUCGCAUGGUUCAAUAGUGAAAGACGGUUUUGCUGUCACUUAUAGAUGGAUCCGCGCCGCAUUAGCUAGUUGGUAAGGUAACGGCUUACCAAGGCAACGAUGCGUAGCCGACCUGAGAGGGUGAUCGGCCACACUGGAACUGAGACACGGUCCAGACUCCUACGGGAGGCAGCAGUAGGGAAUCUUCCGCAAGGGGCGAAAGCUUGACGGAGCAACGCCGCGUGAGUGAUGAAGGUCUUCGGAUCGUAAAACUCUGUUAUUAGGGAAGAACAAAUGUGUAAGUAACUAUGCACGUCUUGACGGUACCUAAUCAGAAAGCCACGGCUAACUACGUG